UGUGCAAUACUAUAUUUAUCCACUCUCGACAUUUAAAUUUUGAGACCUCACAUUUUAAAUUAAAAAGUUUAACUGUCUCGAGUGGAUAAAUAUUGUAUCACACUUGAUGCA
This 111-nucleotide small RNA is filed under the name Mytilus galloprovincialis (Mediterranean mussel). The record is from RNAcentral. Lineage: Eukaryota; Metazoa; Mollusca; Bivalvia; Mytilida; Mytilidae.